GACGAACGCUGGCGGCGUGCUUAACGCAUGCAAGUCGAACGGAAAGGCCCUGCUUUUGUGGGGUGCUCGAGUGGCGAACGGGUGAGUAACACGUGAGUAACCUGCCCUUGACUUUGGGAUAACUUCAGGAAACUGGGGCUAAUACCGGAUAGGAGCUCCUGCUGCAUGGUGGGGGUUGGAAAGUUUCGGCGGUUGGGGAUGGACUCGCGGCUUAUCAGCUUGUUGGUGGGGUAGUGGCUUACCAAGGCUUUGACGGGUAGCCGGCCUGAGAGGGUGACCGGCCACAUGGGGACUGAGAUACGGACCAGACUCCUACGGGAGGCAGCAGUGGGGAAUAUUGCACAAUGGGCGGAAGCCUGAUGCAGCAACGCCGCGUGCGGGAUGACGGCCUGCGGGUUGUAAACCGCGUUCGCCUGUGACGAAGCGUGAGUGACGGUAAUGGGUAAAGAAGCACCGGCUAACUACGUG
RNAcentral lists this ribosomal RNA (468 nucleotides) under uncultured bacterium. RNAcentral describes it as "partial 16S ribosomal RNA". It matches the Rfam family "Bacterial small subunit ribosomal RNA", at positions 28 to 507 of the family's 1533-position model. The record is from RNAcentral.